UUAUUGAUGCCUUAUAGAUAUAAAAUGGAUGAAUAUUGAAACCCAUUCCUUCAUCUCUGACACUUGACAACCUCUAAAGCACUCAAGACACAAACUUAAAAGUGUAAAGCAAAAGAUUUUUCCUACUUUGUAGAAGGCAAAGAGAAUCAGUCAUCUCUGUAAUCCUCAAGUGCCAAGGUCAUGUAAUGACAAAAAAGAAACACCAGACAUUAGAAGAG
Molecule: long non-coding RNA, 218 nt
Filed under: Felis catus (domestic cat)
Lineage: Eukaryota; Metazoa; Chordata; Mammalia; Carnivora; Felidae
Description: lncRNA (ENSFCAG00000049449.1)
Source: RNAcentral